RNAcentral lists this ribosomal RNA (253 nucleotides) under uncultured bacterium. RNAcentral describes it as "partial 16S ribosomal RNA". It matches the Rfam family "Bacterial small subunit ribosomal RNA", at positions 524 to 776 of the family's 1533-position model. The record is from RNAcentral.
UACGGGGGGGGCAAGCGUUGUUCGGAAUUACUGGGCGUAAAGGGCUUGUAGGUGGCCAACUAAGUCAGACGUGAAAUCCCUCGGCUUAACCGGGGAACUGCGUCUGAUACUGGAUGGCUGGAGUGUGGGAGAGGGAUGCGGAAUUCCAGGUGUAGCGGUGAAAUGCGUAGAUAUCAGGAGGAACACCGGUGGCGAAGGCGGAUCUCUGGGCCUUACCUGACGCUCAGGCGCGAAAGCUAGGGGAGCGAACUGG